GCGGGGCCGACUUUGGCUUGCCCUGCCUUUCCCUGUCUGAACCUCAGUUUUCUCUUCUGUGAAAUGGGGACUUCCGUGUUCUCUAAACACUUGUCGGAUCCUCUCUAGAGAUGUGUGUGUCCCUGAGGACAGAGGGAUGGAGGAGCUUCAGGGAGGGCACUCGGCGCCCUCGGAGGGACAGACAAAGCAUAUGGAGGGCACACUGACAACCGGAAGUCCCGUCUGGAGCCAGGCUGACAGUGGUCUAUUCAUCCAACAGACAGACACCCGAGACGUGCCAAUUCACAGCUGUUCAGAUUGAGAGGAGCUGUAUUUGAAGAACUAUUCUCAAAGAACCACCCCUGAGAGAAUUCAUCUUCCCCGGACCUGAUUUCAUCAAUGAGAUCCUGGACUUCUAACCGACGAGAAAGAAGGACUCACACUCUGUAUCUCAGACCCUGGGAGAUGUUGGUGAAGGUGUGGGCUGCAGGAAGUGAUAAUCAUGACAAAAAGAGAAGAAGAUUCACUGGAGAGCUGAGCCAUACCAGCUCC
Prionailurus viverrinus (fishing cat) is the source of this 531-nucleotide long non-coding RNA. RefSeq lists it as uncharacterized. The record is from RefSeq and is a predicted model, not a curated record. Lineage: Eukaryota; Metazoa; Chordata; Mammalia; Carnivora; Felidae. The transcript is spliced from 3 exons.